GAUGAACGCUGGCGGCGUGCUUAACACAUGCAAGUCGAGCGAAGCACUUUUGCGGAUUUCUUCGGAUUGAAGCAACUGUGACUGAGCGGCGGACGGGUGAGUAACGCGUGGGUAACCUGCCUCAUACAGGGGGAUAACAGUUGGAAACGGCUGCUAAUACCGCAUAAGCGCACAGUACCGCAUGGUACCGUGUGAAAAACUCCGGUGGUAUGAGAUGGACCCGCGUCUGAUUAGCUAGUUGGUGGGGUAACGGCCUACCAAGGCGACGAUCAGUAGCCGACCUGAGAGGGUGACCGGCCACAUUGGGACUGAGACACGGCCCAAACUCCUACGGGAGGCAGCAGUGGGGAAUAUUGCACAAUGGGGGAAACCCUGAUGCAGCGACGCCGCGUGAGCGAUGAAGUAUUUCGGUAUGUAAAGCUCUAUCAGCAGGGAAGAAAAUGACGGUACCUGACUAAGAAGCCCCGG
RNAcentral lists this ribosomal RNA (468 nucleotides) under uncultured bacterium. Its description in RNAcentral is "bacterial SSU rRNA". It matches the Rfam family "Bacterial small subunit ribosomal RNA", at positions 28 to 496 of the family's 1533-position model. The record is from RNAcentral.